This 442-nucleotide ribosomal RNA is filed under the name uncultured bacterium. RNAcentral's name for it is "partial 16S ribosomal RNA". It matches the Rfam family "Bacterial small subunit ribosomal RNA", at positions 338 to 795 of the family's 1533-position model. The record is from RNAcentral.
CCUACGGGCGGCAGCAGUAGGGAAUCUUUCACAAUGGGCGAAAGCCUGAUGGAGCAACGCCGCGUGCAGUAUGACGGCCUUCGGGUUGUAAACUGCUUUUAUAAGCGAUAAAUAUGAUGGUAACUUAUGACUCAUGCUCGGCUAACUACGUGCCAGCAGCCGCGGUCAUACGUAGGAUCCGAGCAUUAUCCGGAUUGACUGGGUGUAAAGAGUUGCGUAGGUGGGAUAAUUAGUAGCUAGUGAAAUAUGGUGGCUCAACCAUUCAGACUAUUAGCUAAACUGUUAAGCUCGAGACCGUUAGGGGUAACUGGAAUUUCUAGUGUAGGAGUGAAAUCCGUAGAUAUGAGAAGGAACACCAAUAGCGUAGGCAGGUUACUGGGACGGUUCUGACACUAAGGCACGAAAGCGUAGGGAGCAAACGGGAUUAGAUACCCUUGUAGUC